Molecule: ribosomal RNA, 253 nt
Filed under: uncultured bacterium
Lineage: Bacteria
Description: partial 16S ribosomal RNA
Rfam family: Bacterial small subunit ribosomal RNA
Source: RNAcentral
GACGAACCGAGCGAACGUUGUUCGGAAUCACUGGGCUUAAAGGGCGCGUAGGCGGGUGCUCAAGUCCGGGGUGAAAUCCCUCAGCUUAACUGGGGAACUGCGUGUGAUACUGGAUGGCUUGGAUUCGGGAGAGGGAUGCGGAAUUCCAGGUGUAGCGGUGAAAUGCGUAGAUAUCUGGAGGAACACCGGUGGCGAAGGCGGCAUCCUGGACCGAUAUUGACGCUGAGGAGCGAAAGCCAGGGGAGCAAACGGG